Molecule: long non-coding RNA, 3083 nt
Filed under: Prunus persica (peach)
Lineage: Eukaryota; Viridiplantae; Streptophyta; Magnoliopsida; Rosales; Rosaceae
Description: long non-coding RNA (PPER_LNC007332)
Source: RNAcentral
UCGAGCGGACCCAACCUUGAGAUUUAGAUUCCAAGAGCGUUGAGCCCAAACCCAAAUAAUAGAUUGAUAUUUCAUUUCUCGUUGAUUUGCAUUAUUAUUAUUUUUCCUUUUUCAGCCAUUAGUUCCAGGAAAACAUAUUUAUCCCAAAAAAUAUAUAUAUAUAUAUAUAUCUAUAUAAAAGCGAAAAAUAAACAGGAGUGGAAAUUUCAUUUUUAUGUUUUGGGCUUUGCCCUGAACUUCGAACAAUCGCAGGCAGUCGAAAUCGACGCUACUCGUCAGGUAGGGACCACAGAGUCUACGCUGGACUCUCACAGUGGCCUCAGUAAGCUUGUCCAGGUAACCCCAUAGAGACUAACUUGUACCUGGUAUUGGUAGACAUGUUUUGUAUUUGCAGGCAUGCUUUAUUGUUUUCCUGCUUCUAAUUCGUUUAACUUGUUUGUGGGUAUUGAUGCUUAUUUUCUUGGUUGGUUCCAAAUAUUAUCACUUCCAAGAUCAGUGUUUUAUUGCAAUUUCGAUCGCUUUCUGUAGCUAUGAAUUGGACAGUAAAUAAAUUGGUACCCAAAGGAAAAAAAAGAGUAGUUGCAUGCUCAAUAUAUGUAGUGAUUCAUGGCUUCAUAGUUCAUGCUUGGAUUUCUAAGGUUGAAUUAAACAUUUGAGCUAUAACCCCUUUUCGUGUAGUUGGUUGGCAGUGUUAUACGAUUUGCAAAUUCAGUUUUUUGUUGUUGUUGGGGUAGUAGAGGGUAUGUUUUCGGUUUCCUUUUCAGAAGAACAAGAUCCAUGCGUCUGAAAUUUGUAGAUGGUAGCUGUGGUGGAACUUGGGAUCUACUUUCAACUUUCAAGUUGAGAUUUAGAAUGGUUAAUAGUUAAUUGUCUUAGCCACUAGUCAGUAGACAGUGAACAUGAAUGCCACAUUAUAUUAGAAUAGGAAGCAAUGUUUCCAGUUGACCAGGGAACACAAGGGCACCCACACCAUACAAAAAUAAUUCAUGCAUGAUGGUGUGCAAGGUCUCUUACACUAUGACAUUGACAGACACGACAAUACUAUGUUGCUAUAAAUGUGCCAAAAUUGGAAUCCAAAGCACAUGUAUUCAGAAAAGGAAAGACGAGAUUUUUCAUGUGGAUGAUGAUAUGCAUGAUAAUUGCGCCUACAAAUUUGAUCAUUAAUCGGCAAAGGUAGCUGGUAAAUGGAGCCCAUGGACACAGACAGUAGUCUCUAGUCAUUUUCCUUUACUGGAUCAUGUGAAUUGGAUUCUAAGUUGUGCAUUGAUAUAGGCUUAGAUGCCCUUUACCUGCUGGCUUUGAGUUUGAGGAGGUUUCAGAUGUGCUCAAGAUACCAUCACCUAUCUGGUUGCAUAAGAAACGGAAACACAAGUGGGACCGUGUAAAUUUUGAGGGAGACAGAGAGGUAGGUAAAGUUUUGAUAUUCCAGAAAUGAUCAGCUAGAAUAAACAAUGAGGACACCGUAUAUGUGAUUCUGCAUGUGUUGAGGCCCAUUUUUAGUUAUUUGAAGAACUGGUAAUGUCGUGGGUUGUCAUAACACUAGAAUACACUCUUCUUGUUCUUUGAUGAAGUGGAAUGGAGUUUAUGUGGUAAGGGGUGGGAGCAAAUCUAGUAUGGUGCAUUCAUACCGCAUCUGCUGUGGAGCUAUUAUAAAUGAAUUAAGUUGGCAGAAUCCGCUAGAAUUUAUUUAUGGUAGGUAUCUGUAUUUGUAGUACUUUAUUAUUAUUAUUAUUAUUAUUUCAGAAGGAGGUGGGGGAGGUGUUUCAGAUUUAUUGCCCAUGUAUCAAGUUAAACCCUUGUUGAGGGAGGACCUAAACAUUGCUAUUGUUAGAUAUAUUUUUUAAAAAUUUCUGCACUUAUAAGGAAUCAAUGUAAUAUGAUUUUCUUCUGCAAAAUUAGGGGGUACUUCCAAGUAAUAGUUCGAAAAAUUUUAUAUGUUAAUUGUUGGACUAAUACAAUUCCUCUUUUAUUUGGCUUAUAAUUUGAAUUACUCUCUUUUCUUGUUUGGUAAGUACAUCACAUGUAGAGGAAUGCUUCUUUGAUAUUACUUCAGUUCGUUUUUCACGAUCUGUUUUCCAUCUUGUCUUAUUGGUGCUUGAGAGGUUAUUUGGAAGAGAGAGAUGGGGGUGAAGGUGAGGGAUUGUGGCAAGCUGUUCAACUUUUUGUAGAACUUAUUAGAAGCUCUAAAGAAAAUAUGGAGGAGCAAAAGGCAUAUAAUAAAGAGAACUUCUGCACGUUAACGUGGCCGACGAUGGUCUUGUUUCAAUGAAGCUCUGGAGGUUGGUUUUCAGGAUGGACAGAGAAAUCAUGUAUUCCCAUUUCCAUCAACAAGAGAAGUAAAGGAAAUUGAUGGGUUUCUUUAUGAGGGAUUUAAUAAUAUAGGAAUUUUUCUGUCCACUUAAAUAGGUUUUGCAACAAGAGCAUGCCUCUUUCAUAUUUUUCUGAAUAGAGUUGCUAUAAGGCUCACCAGAAAGGUCUUUGCAUCUUGGAGGAUAAGGUUCUGUUGUCAGAAGGAAUGUCACUGGCCCCAUCAAUUUCAGUAGUUGUGCUAUUAAAGGCUUUAACAAGGGUGACCUGUAUUAGUAAAUGACUUACCUAGUAGUUUCUUUUAUGAAAUUCAUUCAGGCUGGUAAGAUUUAGGUACAGAUCUGCUUAGAUAUUAAAUUGAGUCAUAUUUGUACUUACUGGACCUUCCUAAUCAGGUUUAAUCUGCAAAUGUUGAAAUCUGCGGAUGAUUAAAUACUAAACUGCCUUGCAUCUAUGUUUCAUCCCAAGUGGAUUGCAGGAUUCUUCCAUGGAGGUUUUUUUUAUUUUUUAUUUUUAAAAGCUUCUGUAAAUUGUCAUUACCCCAUUUGAUUCAUCUUCUCAUAUGUCUAACCUAAUAGUAAUUGACACCUACUACUAGCUUAACCCUCUGCAAUGUGUACCUUGCAGGCUUGCACAUGUGUUAGAAUUUUGUAGCAGUUUCUGUUCCUGCCACAGGAAACCAUGCUUUUAAAUAAUGUAUAAAUCCCAAAAUUAUUAUGAAUUCUUACAACCAGAUCUCAAGCUACAUAAAAGAAAGAAUUGAAGAAAGUUUCACU